GGCUGUGUGGCGCAGUUGGUUAGCGCAGGAAUCUUAUACAUUCAAGGUCAGGGGUUCAAGUCCCUUCACAGCUA
Molecule: transfer RNA, 74 nt
Filed under: Myoviridae sp. ctNQV2
Lineage: Duplodnaviria; Heunggongvirae; Uroviricota; Caudoviricetes
Description: tRNA-Ile
Rfam family: tRNA
About the family: Transfer RNA (tRNA) molecules are approximately 80 nucleotides in length. Their secondary structure includes four short double-helical elements and three loops (D, anti-codon, and T loops).
Source: RNAcentral